This 780-nucleotide ribosomal RNA is filed under the name Triticum aestivum (bread wheat). Its description in RNAcentral is "partial small subunit ribosomal RNA". Lineage: Eukaryota; Viridiplantae; Streptophyta; Magnoliopsida; Poales; Poaceae. The record is from RNAcentral.
CUUGCGUUCUGUCAACGGUCCGGCGGCUCUUAGUUCUGGCAAUCUCUCAUUCCGCUUUUGCCUGUCCUGCGCAUUGGCACCUCAAUUUCGGUGGGCUCGGGCGCGGCCACUCUCUUCCGGUUUGACCGGUAGGCUGGCGAGGUCCCUUUCGCGGCCCGCUUCCCAGAUUUAAUCUCCAUUGCCGUUGACCCUCGGGUCUCGGUCGAGACGGCCCUUCUUGACUUAGGGAGUCUCGCCUUCCGCCGCCCGUUUGGGGCUGCGAAACUAGCAGCCUGGCACGAGCUCCUUGACGCUGUGGCCCACCAUGAACCGGCCCUCUCACCUGCGCCUGAUCGGGUCUCCUGGCGCCUUGAGGCCUCGGGCCGCUUCUCCACUCGAUCCCUAUACCGCACCAUUGUGACAACCCCCGCCCCGCCCCCUUCGAGACAUCACUGGUCUAUCCAUAUACCCCUGAAGAUUCGCAUCUUCCUGUGGCAAUGGAUCCGCGGCCGCCUCCCGUCUGGUGUGGAGGUGCGUAAGCGCAAUGGGCCUGGCGAUGGUCUGUGUCCCCUGUGCGGUACCCCUGAGGAAUCGGACCACAUUUUCCUCUCUCGUGUCUCGGCCCAAUUCAUGUGGAGCUGUGCGCGCGAGACGUUCGGUGGAAAUUGGUUCCACACCAACUUCCCGGACCUCUUCACCGAAAUUCAGGCCUCGCCUCCUACUCAUCGCCACAUUAGGUGGCUGGUUAUUGGGGCUCUGGCCUGGACGCUCUGGAUGAUUAGGAACAAGCUUGUUAUUUAG